Molecule: ribosomal RNA, 379 nt
Filed under: uncultured eukaryote
Lineage: Eukaryota
Description: partial 18S ribosomal RNA
Rfam family: Eukaryotic small subunit ribosomal RNA
Source: RNAcentral
CAAUAGCGUAUAUUUAAGUUGUUGCAGUUAAAAAGCUCGUAGUUGGAUUUCGGAUGGGACUUGCCGGUCCGUCGUUUCGAUGUGCACUGGCCAGUCCUAUCUUGUUGUCGGGGACUAGCUCCUGGGCUUCACUGUCCGGGACUAGGAGCUGACGAGGUUACUUUGAGUAAAUUAGAGUGUUCAAAGCAAGCCUACGCUCUGAAUACAUUAGCAUGGAAUAACACGAUAGGACUCUGGCUUAUCUUGUUGGUCUGUGAGACCAGAGUAAUGAUUAAGAGGGACAGUCGGGGGCAUUCGUAUUUCAUUGUCAGAGGUGAAAUUCUUGGAUUUAUGAAAGACGAACUUCUGCGAAAGCAUUUGUCAAGGGUGUUUUCAUUAA